UACGUAGGCAGCAAGCGUUGUUCGGAGUUACUGGGCGUAAAGAGUGCGUAGGUGGUGCCCUAAGUCUGUUGUGAAAUCUCCCGGCUUAACUGGGAGGGUGCGGUGGAAACUGGGGUGCUUGAGUGUGGGAGAGGUAAGCGGAAUUCCUGGUGUAGCGGUGAAAUGCGUAGAUAUCAGGAGGAACACCGGUGGUGUAGACGGCUUACUGGACCACAACUGACGUUGAUGCGCGAAAGCUAGGGGAGCAAACAGG
This 253-nucleotide ribosomal RNA is filed under the name uncultured prokaryote. RNAcentral's name for it is "partial 16S ribosomal RNA". It matches the Rfam family "Bacterial small subunit ribosomal RNA", at positions 524 to 776 of the family's 1533-position model. The record is from RNAcentral.